GUCACCGGUCAUUGGUCAUCGCCCAAAUAUUCGGUGAGAAAAAUAAACCCAGAAAUUUCUAAAAAGUUAAUAAGGAGAAUAACGAUUUACGAUGCCGUUAACGAACGAACAUUCCACCACAACAGAUGGAAACGGUGAAGAAAAUACGAACUUAUGGCAAAGUAUUUUAAACGACGUCCAAAAACACGGAAACCCAAAGUUGAACCCCAACAAGCAAAUCGUAGUCUUGGGAGACAAUGAAAGUGGAAAAACAACGAUGGUUGCAAAAUUGCAAGGGAUAGAGAAUUCAAGCAAAGGAUCAGGACUUGAGUAUGCUUACAUUAAUGUAAGGGAUGAUUAUCGAGAUGACCAUACAAGAUUGAGUGUCUGGGUUUUAGAUGGUGAUCCAGCUCAUGCAGAUCUACUGAAAUUUGCUUUAAAUGAGGAAACUUUUCAGGAUACUUUAAUAAUUCUCACAGUAUCAAUGACAACUCCAUGGGGCAUUUUGGAGCAAUUACAACAUUGGGCUUCAGUUUUAGCUGAUCAUCUUGACAAACUGAAGCUUGAUAUCGAUUUUAGGCAAAAUAGAAAGCAAUUAAUUAUUAAAAAAUGGCUGGAGUAUAUUGAACCCGGUGAUGAGCUAGAUCCUGCUUCUCCAAUGAAAAGAAGCUCCAGAAAUCUGGGAGACGAUGAUGGAGAUGACAUUGAUAGUAGUGCAUUACCGGAUGGCACAUUAACUUGUAAUUUAGGAUUGGAUAUAGUGGUUGUUGUUACUAAAACUGAUUAUAUUCAAACUUUAGAGAAAGAACAUGAUUAUAGGGAUGAACACUUGGACUUCAUGCAGCAGUGGAUUAGGAAAUUUUGUAUACAAUAUGGAGCUGCUUUGUUCUAUACUAGUGCUAAGGAAGAUAAGAAUUGUGAUCUGCUUUAUAAGUACUUAACUCACAGGAUUUAUGGAUUUCCCUUUCAUACUCCUGCUCUGGUUGUUGAAAAAGAUGCAGUUUUUAUUCCAGCUGGCUGGGACAAUUUGAAGAAAAUCAGUAUAUUGUAUGAAAAUAUGCAUUCAUGUAAGCCUGAAGAUUAUUAUAGAGAUGUAAUUGUACAACCUACAACUCGAAAGGCUAUUAAUAGAGAAACAGAACUUGUGGCAGAAGAUGAACAAACAUUCCUAGCCAGAUUGCAACAGAAUUCCUUUGGGGGUCCAGCCGUUCCUGGUAUUCGUAUAAAUGAGACGGCAAUGAGGCAAGGACCUAUGGGAGGUAUCCAAGCUUCUCCAAGAAAGUUAGAUGGGUCUAAAGUGGUAAAUUCGCCAGGCGGAGAGGGUGUUCUCGCUAAUUUCUUUAACUCGCUUCUUUAUAAGAAGACCGGAUCGCCUAAUACAUCAUUGGCAAACAAGUCGGGAGCAGAAUCGUUACCUGAUAAGGCGACGAUGCGUUCUGACGCACAAGCGGAACUUGACAGAUUGGCGAGGAAAAAACCAGCGGCGCCGCCCAGUACCGGUUCGACGCCUAACAGCAGUGGUGUCGAUUUCGAUGCCUCGGAUUGUUAAGUAAAUUAAUAAUCUACAAUAUUUUUUCGUACGAAUAAGGAGAGUUCUUAAAUUGAAAUUAUUCAGUUAACCAUAAUUAGUCAAUAGGAGAAAUAUUUUUAACAAAAUCAAAAUUAGUAAUGGAACAAGAAGGAGACCCUUUUGGAAACGAAUUUCAGUUAUAUUGCGAACGAGGGUAUUUUUUACAAAUGAAUUGUAAUGGUGUAGUAUCAGGAACUGAUGAAGAAGGAGAUCCAUAUACAUACUUUGUGAGGUUAUCUGGCGGUGACGCCGGUUUAGUCAGGUUUAAAGGACUAGAAUCUCAGUUUUAUCUCUGUUUUAACGAUAACGGAAAAUUAUAUGGCGAG
This 1875-nucleotide unclassified non-coding RNA is filed under the name Anthonomus grandis grandis. RNAcentral describes it as "cytoplasmic dynein 1 light intermediate chain 2". The record is from RNAcentral. Lineage: Eukaryota; Metazoa; Arthropoda; Insecta; Coleoptera; Curculionidae.